RNAcentral lists this ribosomal RNA (191 nucleotides) under Salegentibacter sp. Its description in RNAcentral is "partial 23S ribosomal RNA". It matches the Rfam family "Bacterial large subunit ribosomal RNA", at positions 1 to 206 of the family's 2925-position model. Lineage: Bacteria; Pseudomonadati; Bacteroidota; Flavobacteriia; Flavobacteriales; Flavobacteriaceae. The record is from RNAcentral.
AUACAAGCUAGAUAAGGGCGUAUGGGGAAUGCCUAGGCUCUCAGAGGCGAAGAAGGACGUGAUAAGCUGCGAAAAGCUGCGGGGACUGGCACAUACAGGUUGAUCCGCAGGUAUCCGAAUGGGGCAACCCACUUAACUGAAGGUUAAGUACUCCGUAAGGAGGGCAAACCCGGGGAACUGAAACAUCUAAG